This 314-nucleotide small nuclear RNA is filed under the name Calidris pygmaea (Spoon-billed sandpiper). RNAcentral describes it as "7SK RNA (ENSCPGG00000017682.1)". It matches the Rfam family "7SK RNA". From Rfam's summary of the family: 7SK was discovered as an abundant small nuclear RNA in the mid-70s but a possible function has only recently been suggested. Two independent studies have found that 7SK RNA binds the CDK9/cyclin T complex (known as elongation factor P-TEFb). P-TEFb activates transcription by phosphorylating the C-terminal domain of RNA polymerase II. The record is from Rfam by way of RNAcentral. Lineage: Eukaryota; Metazoa; Chordata; Aves; Charadriiformes; Scolopacidae.
GGAUGCGACGGUGAUCUGGCUGCAACAUCUGUCACCCCGUGGGUCACCAGGGUUGAUUUGGCUGAUCUGGCUGGUGAGGGGGGUGUCCCCCUCCCUCUCCACUCCAUGUGCGUCCCUCCCAAAACUGCACGCUUGGUCGAAGGGAAUGACUUUCCCCGAGAGAGACGCACCAUUCAUCAGUCAAGGUACAGGGAAGCUCUGCUCCCCUGCGAGAACCUCCAAACAAUUGAUACUUAAAAACUGUUUGGAAUAACAGAGGCAAAGUCCCCUCUCAAAAAAAAAAUUAAAAUCUGACUUGGUGUACAGUAAGAUUU